AGCGAACGCUGGCGGCAGGCCUAACACAUGCAAGUCGAACGGACCCUUCGGGGUUAGUGGCGGACGGGUGAGUAACACGUGGGAACGUGCCUUUAGGUUCGGAAUAGCUCCUGGAAACGGGUGGUAAUGCCGAAUGUGCCCUUCGGGGGAAAGAUUUAUCGCCGUUAGAGCGGCCCGCGUCUGAUUAGCUAGUUGGUGAGGUAAUGGCUCACCAAGGCGACGAUCAGUAGCUGGUCUGAGAGGAUGACCAGCCACAUUGGGACUGAGACACGGCCCAAACUCCUACGGGAGGCAGCAGUGGGGAAUCUUACGCAAUGGGCGAAAGCCUGACGCAGCCAUGCCGCGUGGAUGAUGAAGGUCUUAGGAUUGUAAAAUCCUUUCACCGGUGAAGAUAAUGACUGUAGCCGGAGAAGAAGCCCCGGCUAACUUCGUGCCAGCAGCCGCCGUAA
RNAcentral lists this ribosomal RNA (449 nucleotides) under uncultured bacterium. Its description in RNAcentral is "partial 16S ribosomal RNA". It matches the Rfam family "Bacterial small subunit ribosomal RNA", at positions 29 to 523 of the family's 1533-position model. The record is from RNAcentral.